Molecule: ribosomal RNA, 455 nt
Filed under: uncultured bacterium
Lineage: Bacteria
Description: bacterial SSU rRNA
Rfam family: Bacterial small subunit ribosomal RNA
Source: RNAcentral
UACGGAAGGCAGCAGUGGGGAAUAUUGCACAAUGGGCGCAAGCCUGAUGCAGCCAUGCCGCGUGUAUGAAGAAGGCCUUCGGGUUGUAAAGUACUUUCAGCGGGGAGGAAGGCGAUGCGGUUAAUAACCGCGUCGAUUGACGUUACCCGCAGAAGAAGCACCGGCUAACUCCGUGCCAGCAGCCGCGGUAAUACGGAGGGUGCAAGCGUUAAUCGGAAUUACUGGGCGUAAAGCGCACGCAGGCGGUCUGUUAAGUCAGAUGUGAAAUCCCCGGGCUUAACCUGGGAACUGCAUUUUGAAACUGGCAGGCUUGAGUCUUGUAGAGGGGGUAGAAUUCCAGGUGUAGCGGUGAAAUGCGUAGAGAUCUGGAGGAAUACCGGUGGCGAAGGCGGCCCCUGGGACAAAGCUGACGCUCAGGUGCGAAAGCGUGGGGAGCAAACGAGGAUUAGGAUACC